UGCGAAAUAAAGGAUCGGCUAACUCCGUGCCAGCAGCCGCGGUAAUACGGAGGAUCCGAGCGUUAUCCGGAUUUAUUGGGUUUAAAGGGUGCGCAGGCGGGAUGUUAAGUCGGCGGUGAAAUUUUGCAGCUCAACUGUAAAAGUGCCUUCGAUACUGGCUUUCUUGAGUGUGGAUGAAGUAGGCGGAAUUUGUGGUGUAGCGGUGAAAUGCUUAGAUAUCACGAGGAACUCCGAUUGCGCAGGCAGCUUACUAAACCACUACUGACGCUCAUGCACGAAGGCGUGGGGAUCAAACAGGAUUAGAUACCCUGGUAGUCCACGCAGUAAACGAUGAUUACUAGUUGUUUGCGAUACAAUGUAAGCGACUGAGCGAAAGCGUUAAGUAAUCCACCUGGGGAGUACGUUCGCAAGAAUGAAACUCAAAGGAAUUGACGGGGGCCCGCACAAGCGGAGGAACAUGUGGUUUAAUUCGAUGAUACGCGAGGAACCUUACCCGGGCUUGAAAUGCGGCGGACCGGCAGAGAGAUCUGCCUUCCCUUCGGGGCCGCCGUGUAGGUGCUGCAUGGUUGUCGUCAGCUCGUGCCGUGAGGUGUCGGCUUAAGUGCCAUAACGAGCGCAACCCUCAUCAUUAGUUACUAACAGGUCAUGCUGAGGACUCUAGUGAGACUGCCAUCGUAAGAUGCGAGGAAGGUGGGGAUGACGUCAAAUCAGCACGGCCCUUACGUCCGGGGCGACACACGUGUUACAAUGGGUGGUACAAAGGGCAGCUACCUGGCGACAGGAUGCUAAUCUCCAAAACCACUCUCAGUUCGGAUCGGAGUCUGCAACUCGACUCCGUGAAGCUGGAUUCGCUAGUAAUCGCG
RNAcentral lists this ribosomal RNA (863 nucleotides) under uncultured Petrimonas sp. RNAcentral's name for it is "bacterial SSU rRNA". It matches the Rfam family "Bacterial small subunit ribosomal RNA", at positions 479 to 1346 of the family's 1533-position model. Lineage: Bacteria; Pseudomonadati; Bacteroidota; Bacteroidia; Bacteroidales; Dysgonomonadaceae. The record is from RNAcentral.